RNAcentral lists this ribosomal RNA (428 nucleotides) under uncultured bacterium. RNAcentral's name for it is "bacterial SSU rRNA". It matches the Rfam family "Bacterial small subunit ribosomal RNA", at positions 43 to 475 of the family's 1533-position model. The record is from RNAcentral.
CAGGCCUAACACAUGCAAGUCGAGCGGUAAGGCCCUUCGGGGUACACGAGCGGCGAACGGGUGAGUAACACGUGGGUGACCUGCCCUCCACUUCGGGAUAAGCCUGGGAAACCGGGUCUAAUACCGGAUAGGACCUCUGGAUGCAUGUCUGGUGGUGGAAAGUUUUUCGGUGGGGGAUGGGCCCGCGGUCUAUCAGCUUGUUGGUGGGGUGAUGGCCUACCAAGGCGACGACGGAUAGCCGGCCUGAGAGGGUGAUCGGCCACACUGGGACUGAGACACGGCCCAGACUCCUACGGGAGGCAGCAGUGGGGAAUCUUGCGCAAUGGGCGGAAGCCUGACGCAGCAACGCCGCGUGGGGGAUGACGGCCUUCGGGUUGUAAACCUCUUUCGCGAUCGACGAAGCUCCGGUUUCUUGCCNGGGGUGACGG